This 637-nucleotide ribosomal RNA is filed under the name Bacillus sp. CSu1_10. RNAcentral describes it as "bacterial SSU rRNA". It matches the Rfam family "Bacterial small subunit ribosomal RNA", at positions 56 to 676 of the family's 1533-position model. Lineage: Bacteria; Bacillati; Bacillota; Bacilli; Caryophanales; Bacillaceae. The record is from RNAcentral.
UGCAGUCGAGCGGACCGACGGGAGCUUGCUCCCUUAGGUCAGCGGCGGACGGGUGAGUAACACGUGGGUAACCUGCCUGUAAGACUGGGAUAACUCCGGGAAACCGGGGCUAAUACCGGAUGCUUGAUUGAACCGCAUGGUUCAAUCAUGAAAGGCGGCUUCGGCUGCCGUUUACAGAUGGACCCGCGGCGCAUUAGCUAGUUGGUGAGGUAACGGCUCACCAAGGCGACGAUGCGUAGCCGACCUGAGAGGGUGAUCGGCCACACUGGGACUGAGACACGGCCCAGACUCCUACGGGAGGCAGCAGUAGGGAAUCUUCCGCAAUGGACGAAAGUCUGACGGAGCAACGCCGCGUGAGUGAUGAAGGUUUUCGGAUCGUAAAGCUCUGUUGUUAGGGAAGAACAAGUACCGUUCGAAUAGGGCGGUACCUUGACGGUACCUAACCAGAAAGCCACGGCUAACUACGUGCCAGCAGCCGCGGUAAUACGUAGGUGGCAAGCGUUGUCCGGAAUUAUUGGGCGUAAAGCGCGCGCAGGCGGUUUCUUAAGUCUGAUGUGAAAGCCCCCGGCUCAACCGGGGAGGGUCAUUGGAAACUGGGGAACUUGAGUGCAGAAGAGGAGAGUGGAAUUCCACGUGU